UACGUAGGGGGCAAGCGUUGUCCGGAUUCAUUGGGCGUAAAGAGCGUGUAGGCGGCCCGGUAGGUCGGUUGUGAAAACUGGAGGCUCAACCUUCAGAGGUCGACCGAAACUAUCUGGCUAGAGUCCGGGAGAGGAGAGUGGAAUUCCUGGUGUAGCGGUGAAAUGCGCAGAUAUCAGGAAGAACACCAGUGGCGAAAGCGGCUCUCUGGAACGGUACUGACGCUGAGACGCGAAAGCGUGGGGAGCGAACAGG
This 253-nucleotide ribosomal RNA is filed under the name uncultured bacterium. RNAcentral's name for it is "partial 16S ribosomal RNA". It matches the Rfam family "Bacterial small subunit ribosomal RNA", at positions 524 to 776 of the family's 1533-position model. The record is from RNAcentral.